Molecule: ribosomal RNA, 439 nt
Filed under: Sinoennea pagodella
Lineage: Eukaryota; Metazoa; Mollusca; Gastropoda; Stylommatophora; Diapheridae
Description: partial 16S ribosomal RNA
Rfam family: Bacterial large subunit ribosomal RNA
Source: RNAcentral
AGCCUACUGAGAGCUCAUAGUAGGUUAACUCUGCCCAAUGAUUAUGUUUUAGGUAGUUGAAUGGCCGCAGUACACUGACUGUGCUAAGGUAGCAUAAUCAAUUGUCUUUUAAAUGGAGUCUAGAAUGAAGGAGACCAUGAAGUGGCAUUUUCUUAAGCAAGUUUAUUUGAAAUUAAUGGUAGGUGGUGUAAAUGCCACCAGUAAGAAAAAAGACGAGAAGACCCUAAGAAUUUUACCGAAUGGUUUUGUUGGGGUGACAGGUUUACACAAUUAGUAAACUAGACUAAUAAUAAGGAAACAAGCCGAUCUUUAUACGAUUGGGAAAAUUACCUUAGGGAUAACAGCGUAAUGUUUUAUUAGCGAUUGCGACCUCGAUGUUGGAUUAAGAUUUGAAUGAUUAGUAAUUUAUUCAAAAGGUUCUGUUCGAACCAUCAAUCUU